Drosophila serrata is the source of this 780-nucleotide long non-coding RNA. RefSeq lists it as uncharacterized. The record is from RefSeq and is a predicted model, not a curated record. NCBI's taxonomy places the organism in Eukaryota, Metazoa, Arthropoda, Insecta, Diptera, Drosophilidae.
GAUGUUUAACCAGUACAGCACAACCUUUAGUACCGUAAACACCUCCUGGAAUCCGAAAAGUAAAAAUUAUUUGUAAUCUUUUUACCGAAACAUAAAUUUUGAAAACAGUCGCGAAGAAUCGAGUCUAAAUUCUAUAGUCCGCAACUGAAACCUAAAUUUCGAGCAUUUCGAUUCGAUUAGUUCCUGGCUCUCCUCGUCUAUCUGCAAAUCAAGGACUUUGUUGCCGAGUAGAUCCUGGGCAGGCAUGGGAUAAGUGCCUGCCCAGGGUUCCAGACCAUAACGUCGCAUGUCGACCCCCAAUUUUCAUCACCGUCAGAAGAUUGGUUGCCGGUAUAAAAAGUACGAGAUGAACGACACCGCCUAGUGAUGUUGGCAUAUUGAUGGCACAGACAACCCAAUUGAAAGUUACUUCGUCUUCACACACGAUCACCAUUUUGCAAAAGAAUAAGGCCAUUGGAACGCAUUCGCUUCAUCUCAACUUUGGUGUUUCGCUAGCCUCAACUACUUUGAAUAUCUGAACCAUUACAACAUGUGAUUUUACACCUAUAAGCAAGGGUCCUCGGGCAAGGAUUUAGCAUACGGUGGGCGAUCAUCCAUCCCCCUGCAAGGGUCAUUCGGGCAGCAUUGUUUUGACGGGUCGUGGCACUUUGGCAAAGCUUCGGACAAAUUUAAUACUGGAUUUAUUUUGGAACACAAAUAUGUUUUCUUAUUGAUACUAUUUUACAAAACGCAGCCAAAAUAUUAUAUUAUAUUGAUUGCAAAUAAACUUUAUACCUGUAA